CGCUGGCGGCGUGCUUAACACAUGCAAGUCGAGCGGAAAGGCCCUUCGGGGUACUCGAGCGGCGAACGGGUGAGUAACACGUGGGCAACCUGCCCCUAGCUCUGGGAUAACUCCGGGAAACCGGGGCUAAUACCGGAUACGAUCUUCCAUGGCAUCUCGGAAGAUGGAAAGUUUUUCGGCUAGGGAUGGGCCCGCGGCCUAUCAGCUUGUUGGUGAGGUAACGGCCCACCAAGGCGACGACGGGUAGCCGGCCUGAGAGGGCGACCGGCCACACUGGGACUGAGACACGGCCCAGACUCCUACGGGAGGCAGCAGUGGGGAAUAUUGCGCAAUGGGCGAAAGCCUGACGCAGCGACGCCGCGUGAGGGAUGAAGGCCUUCGGGUUGUAAACCUCUUUCAGCAGGGACGAAGCGAGAGUGACGGUACCUGCAGAAGAAGCACCGGCCAACUACGUGCCAGCAGCCGCGGUAAUACGUAGGGUGCAAGCGUUGUCCGGAAUUAUUGGGCGUAAAGAGCUCGUAGGCGGUCUGUCGCGUCGGCUGUGAAAACUCGGGGCUCAACCCCGAGCCUGCAGUCGAUACGGGCAGACUAGAGUGCUGUAGGGGAGACUGGAAUUCCUGGUGUAGCGGUGAAAUGCGCAGAUAUCAGGAGGAACACCGGUGGCGAAGGCGGGUC
This 675-nucleotide ribosomal RNA is filed under the name uncultured Actinomycetes bacterium. Its description in RNAcentral is "bacterial SSU rRNA". It matches the Rfam family "Bacterial small subunit ribosomal RNA", at positions 34 to 727 of the family's 1533-position model. Lineage: Bacteria; Bacillati; Actinomycetota; Actinomycetes. The record is from RNAcentral.